GACGAAGUAGUUUAAGUAAAAACGGCAGAUUGUGGUUCUGUUAAUAGUUGUUCCUUUUCGUUA
Molecule: transfer RNA, 63 nt
Filed under: Margaritifera falcata (western pearlshell)
Lineage: Eukaryota; Metazoa; Mollusca; Bivalvia; Unionida; Margaritiferidae
Description: tRNA-His
Rfam family: tRNA
About the family: Transfer RNA (tRNA) molecules are approximately 80 nucleotides in length. Their secondary structure includes four short double-helical elements and three loops (D, anti-codon, and T loops). Further hydrogen bonds mediate the characteristic L-shaped molecular structure. tRNAs have two regions of fundamental functional importance: the anti-codon, which is responsible for specific mRNA codon recognition, and the 3' end, to which the tRNAs corresponding amino acid is attached (by aminoacyl-tRNA synthetases). tRNAs cope with the degeneracy of the genetic code in two manners: having more than one tRNA (with a specific anti-codon) for a particular amino acid; and 'wobble' base-pairing, i.e. permitting non-standard base-pairing at the 3rd anti-codon position.
Source: RNAcentral